UCAUCUCCGGGGGUAGAGCACUGUUUCGGCAAGGGGGUCAUCCCGACUUACCAACCCGAUGCAAACUGCGAAUACCGGAGAAUGUUAUCACGGGAGACACACGGCGGGUGCUAACGUCCGUCGUGAAGAGGGAAACAACCCAGACCGCCAGCUAAGGUCCCAAAGUCAUGGUUAAGUGGGAAACGAUGUGGGAAGGCCCAGACAGCCAGGAUGUUGGCUUAGAAGCAGCCAUCAUUUAAAGAAAGCGUAAUAGCUCACUGGUCGAGUCGGCCUGCGCGGAAGAUGUAACGGGGCUAAACCAUGCACCGAAGCUGCGGCAGCGACGCUGAUGCGUUGUUGGGUAGGGGAGCGUUCUGUAAGCCUGUGAAGGUGUGCUGUGAGGCAUGCUGGAGGUAUCAGAAGUGCGAAUGCUGACAUAAGUAACGAUAAAGCGGGUGAAAAGCCCGCUCGCCGGAAGACCAAGGGUUCCUGUCCAACGUUAAUCGGGGCAGGGUGAGUCGACCCCUAAGGCGAGGCCGAAAGGCGUAGUCGAUGGGAAACAGGUUAAUAUUCCUGUACUUGGUGUUACUGCGAAGGGGGGACGGAGAAGGCUAUGUUGGCCGGGCGACGGUUGUCCCGGUUUAAGCGUGUAGGCUGGUUUUCCAGGCAAAUCCGGAAAAUCAAGGCUGAGGCGUGAUGACGAGGCACUACGGUGCUGAAGCAACAAAUGCCCUGCUUCCAGGAAAAGCCUCUAAGCAUCAGGUAACAUCAAAUCGUACCCCAAACCGACACAGGUGGUCAGGUAGAGAAUACCAAGGCGCUUGAGAGAACUCGGGUGAAGGAACUAGGCAAAAUGGUGCCGUAACUUCGGGAGAAGGCACGC
RNAcentral lists this ribosomal RNA (862 nucleotides) under Escherichia coli. RNAcentral's name for it is "partial 23S ribosomal RNA". It matches the Rfam family "Bacterial large subunit ribosomal RNA", at positions 890 to 1751 of the family's 2925-position model. The record is from RNAcentral. Lineage: Bacteria; Pseudomonadati; Pseudomonadota; Gammaproteobacteria; Enterobacterales; Enterobacteriaceae.